UAAACUUAGGGUUGUAUUCGAUGCUAGC
RNAcentral lists this small RNA (28 nucleotides) under Bombyx mori (domestic silkworm). RNAcentral describes it as "ovarian small RNA-18247". Lineage: Eukaryota; Metazoa; Arthropoda; Insecta; Lepidoptera; Bombycidae. The record is from RNAcentral.